AACGAACGCUGGCGGCAGGCUUAACACAUGCAAGUCGAACGCCCCGCAAGGGGAGUGGCAGACGGGUGAGUAACGCGUGGGAACAUACCCUUUCCUGCGGAAUAGCUCCGGGAAACUGGAAUUAAUACCGCAUACGCCCUACGGGGGAAAGAUUUAUCGGGGAAGGAUUGGCCCGCGUUGGAUUAGCUAGUUGGUGGGGUAAAGGCCUACCAAGGCGACGAUCCAUAGCUGGUCUGAGAGGAUGAUCAGCCACAUUGGGACUGAGACACGGCCCAAACCCCUCCGGGAGGAAGCAGGGGGAAAUAUGGGAAAAGGGGCCCAGGCUGGACCCCGCCAGGCCGGGGGAGUAAUGAAGGCCUUGGGGUGGAAAAGCUCUUUCACCGAUGAAGAUAAUGACGGUAGUGGGAGAAGAAGCCCCGGCUAACUUCGUG
This 431-nucleotide ribosomal RNA is filed under the name uncultured bacterium. Its description in RNAcentral is "partial 16S ribosomal RNA". It matches the Rfam family "Bacterial small subunit ribosomal RNA", at positions 29 to 507 of the family's 1533-position model. The record is from RNAcentral.